UCGCAGCUAUCAUAGUGCGGGGUUGACGAGCCUUAACUUCACACCGGAUCUCUGGAAUAAGCCCUUCAAUAAAUGUAUCCAGAAGUUGUCGGUCCGACCAAUCUCUAGCUUGAUUUGAUAAUCUUUCAAACCUACUCUGAUAUUCUAACACUGUAGAAGUCUGACGAAUUUUGGUGAGCUAGCAAUCAACAUUCUCAUAUUUGGAUGGGCCAAAGCGAACAAGAAGCCCUCUUUUGAACUGCUCCCACGAAGGAACUCCGUGGAAAGUUUCAUACCAAUCGUACCACUGGAGUGCAUCUCCC
This 302-nucleotide long non-coding RNA is filed under the name Musa acuminata (dwarf banana). RNAcentral's name for it is "long non-coding RNA (MACU_LNC004072)". The record is from RNAcentral. Lineage: Eukaryota; Viridiplantae; Streptophyta; Magnoliopsida; Zingiberales; Musaceae.